Molecule: ribosomal RNA, 978 nt
Filed under: Triticum aestivum (bread wheat)
Lineage: Eukaryota; Viridiplantae; Streptophyta; Magnoliopsida; Poales; Poaceae
Description: partial small subunit ribosomal RNA
Source: RNAcentral
AUGGAGCUGUUCGAGCGCGCCAAGACGGUGCGGCUGCGGAGCCACCAAAACAAGUACAUGUACGCCGACGAGGACGAGUCCCACGUCCUGCAGGACCGCAACGCCGCGUCCCCGAACGCGCGGUGGACCGUGGAGCUGGUGCCGAACGCGCCGGGCGUCAUCCGCCUCCGCAGCCGCUACGGCCGCUACCUCACCGCCUCCAACGAGCCCAUCCUCAUGGGCGUCACCGGACGCAAGGUGAUCCAGACGCUGCCCCACCGCCUCGACUCUUCCGUUGAGUGGGUCCCAGUCGGCGAAGGCAGGCACGCUCGCCUCCAGACUCGUUACGGCAACUUCCUCCGCGCCAACGGCGGCCUCCCGCCGUUGCGCAACACCGUCACCCAUGACGUCCCCCACCACCGCCAUGCCGGCUGGGUCGUCUGGUGCAUCGAGAUCGUGCAGGUGCUCGUGCAACCGCCUCAAUGCUCCGACCCCAUCACCACCGCCUACUCUCCUCCUCUACCUUACAAACCACACUCUCGCUCGCCCUCGCCCUCGCCCGCGCCCUUGCCGACGGGAGCGCUCAGGCCUCCUGCGCCGCACCACCGUAUGGCGACUCCAUUGACAGCGCAGCCCCCGCCACCUCCCCCCGGCUCCCUAGCGCCCCCUGUCGGAUUUUCAAGGCUCGAGUCGGCGGACUCCUUCUCGGUGCCGGUGCACAAGGUGGAGGGGCGGCACAUCCACUACCAUGUUGCGGAUGACAGCGGUUAUGUGCGUGAGGGAGAUGAGGGGCACUCGUUCCUAUUCAACGGGACAAGCCUUGGGGAGCUGCUGGAGAGACUGCAGGAGGAGACGGGGCUCAAGGACGUGAUCAUCUGCUCCCGCAACCCCAUCACAAGCAAGUUGAUGCCGCUCCGCCUGCAGCUCCCACCCAACAACAGCGCCAUGCACGUCGUGCUCGUGCGCAAGUCCUCAAAAGUGGCAAGAUCUUUUUCAUAA